GGCUGGAUAGCUCAGUUGGUUAGAACAUGGUGCUGAUAACACCAAGGUUGCAGGUUUGAUCCCUGUAUAGGACA
Molecule: transfer RNA, 74 nt
Filed under: Podarcis lilfordi (Lilford's wall lizard)
Lineage: Eukaryota; Metazoa; Chordata; Lepidosauria; Squamata; Lacertidae
Description: tRNA.Ile
Rfam family: tRNA (bases 8-66)
About the family: Transfer RNA (tRNA) molecules are approximately 80 nucleotides in length. Their secondary structure includes four short double-helical elements and three loops (D, anti-codon, and T loops). Further hydrogen bonds mediate the characteristic L-shaped molecular structure. tRNAs have two regions of fundamental functional importance: the anti-codon, which is responsible for specific mRNA codon recognition, and the 3' end, to which the tRNAs corresponding amino acid is attached (by aminoacyl-tRNA synthetases). tRNAs cope with the degeneracy of the genetic code in two manners: having more than one tRNA (with a specific anti-codon) for a particular amino acid; and 'wobble' base-pairing, i.e. permitting non-standard base-pairing at the 3rd anti-codon position.
Source: RNAcentral